GACGAACGCUGGCGGCGUGCUUAACACAUGCAAGUCGAACGGAAAGGCCCUGCUUUUGUGGGGUGCUCGAGUGGCGAACGGGUGAGUAACACGUGAGUAACCUGCCCUUGACUUUGGGAUAACUUCAGGAAACUGGGGCUAAUACCGGAUAGGAGCUCCUGCUGCAUGGUGGGGGUUGGAAAGUUUCGGCGGUUGGGGAUGGACUCGCGGCUUAUCAGCUUGUUGGUGGGGUAGUGGCUUACCAAGGCUUUGACGGGUAGCCGGCCUGAGAGGGUGACCGGCCACAUUGGGACUGAGAUACGGCCCAGACUCCUACGGGAGGCAGCAGUGGGGAAUAUUGCACAAUGCGCGGAAGCCUGAUGCAGCAACGCCGCGUGCGGGAUGACGGCCUUCGAGUUGUAAACCGCUUUCGCCUGUGACGAAGCGUGAGUGACGGUAAUGGGUAAAGAAGCACCGGCUAACUACGUG
Molecule: ribosomal RNA, 468 nt
Filed under: uncultured bacterium
Lineage: Bacteria
Description: partial 16S ribosomal RNA
Rfam family: Bacterial small subunit ribosomal RNA
Source: RNAcentral